This 265-nucleotide ribosomal RNA is filed under the name Vibrio parahaemolyticus. Its description in RNAcentral is "partial 23S ribosomal RNA". It matches the Rfam family "Bacterial large subunit ribosomal RNA", at positions 1258 to 1527 of the family's 2925-position model. Lineage: Bacteria; Pseudomonadati; Pseudomonadota; Gammaproteobacteria; Vibrionales; Vibrionaceae. The record is from RNAcentral.
GUGUGGUAACGCAUGCUGGACGUAUCAGAAGUGCGAAUGCUGACAUGAGUAACGAUAAAGGGGGUGAAAAACCUCCUCGCCGGAAGACCAAGGGUUCCUGUCCAACGUUAAUCGGGGCAGGGUAAGUCGACCCCUAAGGCGAGGCCGAAAGGCGUAGUCGAUGGGAAACGGGUUAAUAUUCCCGUACUUCUUACAAUUGCGAUGGGGGGACGGAGAAGGCUAGGUGGGCCUGGCGACGGUUGUCCAGGUUCAAGUGCGUAGGCUU